RNAcentral lists this ribosomal RNA (301 nucleotides) under uncultured bacterium. Its description in RNAcentral is "partial 16S ribosomal RNA". It matches the Rfam family "Bacterial small subunit ribosomal RNA", at positions 509 to 807 of the family's 1533-position model. The record is from RNAcentral.
CAGUCGCCGCGGUAACACGGAGGGUGCAAGCGUUAUCCGGAUUCACUGGGUUUAAAGGGUGCGUAGGUGGGCAGGUAAGUCAGUGGUGAAAUCUCCGGGCUUAACCCGGAAACUGCCGUUGAUACUAUCUGUCUUGAAUAUAGUGGAGGUGAGCGGAAUAUGUCAUGUAGCGGUGAAAUGCUUAGAUAUGACAUAGAACACCAAUUGCGAAGGCAGCUCGCUACACUAUCAUUGACACUGAGGCACGAAAGCGUGGGGAUCAAACAGGAUUAGAUACCCCCGUAGUCCCUGUCUCUUAUAC